RNAcentral lists this ribosomal RNA (468 nucleotides) under uncultured bacterium. RNAcentral describes it as "partial 16S ribosomal RNA". It matches the Rfam family "Bacterial small subunit ribosomal RNA", at positions 28 to 507 of the family's 1533-position model. The record is from RNAcentral.
GACGAACGCUGGCGGCGUGCUUAACACAUGCAAGUCGAACGGAAAGGCCCUGCUUUUGUGGGGUGCUCGAGUGGCGAACGGGUGAGUAACACGUGAGUAACCUGCCCUUGACUUUGGGAUAACUUCAGGAAACUGGGGCUAAUACCGGAUAGGAGCUCCUGCUGCAUGGUGGGGGUUGGAAAGUUUCGGCGGUUGGGGAUGGACUCGCGGCUUAUCAGCUUGUUGGUGGGGUAGUGGCUUACCAAGGCUUUGACGGGUAGCCGGCAUGAGAGGGUGACCGGACAAAUUGGGACUGAGAGACGGACCAGAAUGCAACGGGAGGCAGCAGUGGGGAAUAUUGCACAAUGGGCGGAAGCCUGAUGCAGCAACGCCGCGUGCGGGAUGACGGCCUUCGGGUUGUAAACCGCUUUAGCCUGUGACGAAGCGUGAGUGACGGUAAUGGGUAAAGAAGCACCGGCUAACUACGUG